GACAGAGGAGGCGAGCGUUAUCCGGAGUUAUUGGGCGUAAAGGGUACGUCGGCGGCUGGUCAAGUCUGGGGUUAAAGACCACAGCUUAACUGUGGGGGGGCCUUGGAAACUGACCGGCUGGAGUGGGGCAGGGGUUGCGGGAAUUCCCGGUGUAGCGGUGAAAUGCGUAGAUAUCGGGAAGAACACCUGAGGCGAAAGCGCGCAACUGGGCCCUGACUGACGCUGAGGUACGAAAGCUAGGGGAGCGAAGGGG
Molecule: ribosomal RNA, 253 nt
Filed under: uncultured bacterium
Lineage: Bacteria
Description: partial 16S ribosomal RNA
Rfam family: Bacterial small subunit ribosomal RNA
Source: RNAcentral